GACGAACGCUGGCGGCGUGCCUAAUACAUGCAAGUCGAACGCUUCUUUCCUCCCGAUUGCUUGCACUCAAUUGGAAAGAGGAGUGGCGGACGGGUGAGUAACACGUGGGUAACCUACCCAUCAGCGGGGGAUAACACUUGGAAACAGGUGCUAAUAUCGCAUAACAGUUUAUGCCGUAUGGCAUAAGAGUGAAAGGCGCAUUCGGGUGUCGCUGAGGGAUGGAUCCGCGGUGCAUUAGCUAGUUGGUGAGGUAACGGCUCACCAAGGCCACGAUGCAUAGCCGACCUGAGAGGGUGAUCGGCCACACUGGGACUGAGACACGGCCCAGACUCCUACGGGAGGCAGCAGUAGGGAAUCUUCGGCAAUGGGCGAAAGUCUGACCGAGCAACGCCGCGUGAGUGAAGAAGGUUUUCGGAUCGUAAAACUCUGUUGUUAGAGAAGAACAAGGACGUUAGUAACUGAGCGUCCCCUGACGGUAUCUAACCAGAAAGCCACGGCUAACUACGUG
Molecule: ribosomal RNA, 508 nt
Filed under: uncultured bacterium
Lineage: Bacteria
Description: partial 16S ribosomal RNA
Rfam family: Bacterial small subunit ribosomal RNA
Source: RNAcentral